This 368-nucleotide long non-coding RNA is filed under the name Mytilus galloprovincialis (Mediterranean mussel). The record is from RNAcentral. Lineage: Eukaryota; Metazoa; Mollusca; Bivalvia; Mytilida; Mytilidae.
GGUGGGGUCAUUUAGUGCAAACAUUCAAAUUUCUCAGAUGGUAAGGUUGUCGCAUAUCAAAUGAAAGAACAUAAAGCGUACAUUUCAAAUUUCAAAUUGACGUCUCCCAAAAAAUGGGUUGGAUGGGGUCAUUGAGUGCAAAAAAUAAAUUUUCUUUUAAGAUAGGGUUGUUGUAUAUCAAAUGAAAGGUCAUGAUGUGUACAUUUGAAAUAUCAAAUUCCCGACCUCCAAAAAUUAGUUGGAUAGGGUUAUUAAGUGCAAAAAUCAAACUUUCUAGAACAAGGCGUUGUCGCAUAUCAAAUGAAAGCUCAUCUACUCUAUGUUACAUAUAUCAUACUUCCGAUCUCAAAAAUGUAGCCGGAUGAGGU